This 253-nucleotide ribosomal RNA is filed under the name uncultured bacterium. RNAcentral describes it as "partial 16S ribosomal RNA". It matches the Rfam family "Bacterial small subunit ribosomal RNA", at positions 524 to 776 of the family's 1533-position model. The record is from RNAcentral.
UACGGAGGGUGCAAGCGUUAACCGGAAUUACUGGGCGUAAAGCGUGCGCAGGCGGCCCUGCAAGUCUGCUGUGAAAGCGCGGGGCUUAACCUCGGAACAGCAUUUGUAACUGCAGGGCUAGAGUGCGGUCGAGGGGGAAGGAAUUCCUCGUGUAGCGGUGAAAUGCGUAGAGAUGCGGAGGAACACCGUUGGCGAAGGCAGCCGCCUGGACCUGUACUGACGCUGAGGGACGAAAGCGCGGGGAGCAAACAGG